AGAGUUUGAUCAUGGCUCAGGAUGAACGCUAGCUACAGGCUUAACACAUGCAAGUCGAGGGGAAACGACAUCGAAAGCUUGCUUUUGAUGGGCGUCGACCGGCGCACGGGUGAGUAACGCGUAUCCAACCUGCCCACCACUUGGGGAUAACCUUGCGAAAGUAAGACUAAUACCCAAUGACGUCUCUAGAAGACAUCUGAAGGAGAUUAAAGAUUUAUCGGUGAUGGAUGGGGAUGCGUCUGAUUAGCUUGUUGGCGGGUAACGGCCACAAGGCGACGAUCAGUAGGGUUCUGAGAGGAACGGUCCCCCANAUUGGAACUGAGACACGGUCCAAACUCCUACGGGAGGCA
Molecule: ribosomal RNA, 350 nt
Filed under: uncultured bacterium
Lineage: Bacteria
Description: bacterial SSU rRNA
Rfam family: Bacterial small subunit ribosomal RNA
Source: RNAcentral